This 497-nucleotide ribosomal RNA is filed under the name uncultured bacterium. RNAcentral's name for it is "partial 16S ribosomal RNA". It matches the Rfam family "Bacterial small subunit ribosomal RNA", at positions 28 to 507 of the family's 1533-position model. The record is from RNAcentral.
GACGAACGCUGGCGGCGUGCCUAAUACAUGCAAGUUGAGCGAUGAAGAUUGGUGCUUGCACCAAUUUGAAGAGCAGCGAACGGGUGAGUAACGCGUGGGGAAUCUGCCUUUGAGCGGGGGACAACAUUUGGAAACGAAUGCUAAUACCGCAUAACAACUUUAAACAUAAGUUUUAAGUUUGAAAGAUGCAAUUGCAUCACUCAAAGAUGAUCCCGCGUUGUAUUAGCUAGUUGGUGAGGUAAAGGCUCACCAAGGCGAUGAUACAUAGCCGACCUGAGAGGGUGAUCGGCCACAUUGGGACUGAGACACGGCCCAGACGCCUACGGGAGGCAGCAGUAGGGAAUCUUCGGCAAUGGACGAAAGUCUGACCGAGAAACGCCGCGUGAGUGAAGAAGGUUUUCGGAUCGUAAAACUCUGUUGGUAGAGAAGAACGUUGGUGAGAGUGGAAAGCUCAUCAAGUGACGGUAACUACCCAGAAAGGGACGGCUAACUACGUG